Molecule: long non-coding RNA, 526 nt
Organism: Zonotrichia leucophrys gambelii
Lineage: Eukaryota; Metazoa; Chordata; Aves; Passeriformes; Passerellidae
Exons: 3
Source: RefSeq, a predicted model, not a curated record
GGGAAGAGGAAAGAGUCAGUGCUGUGAGGAGCUGGCCAUGAGAAACACCAAGAAGGUGUGGAACUGUUGUGGUAAGGAGACAGCAGUGUGGAAUCCCUGCAAUAAGAUGAAAACACCACAGCCCCAGCACACCAUUUUAUUUCCUUGGAAACUUUGACACCAGUCACUUCACAAGGAGAAACAGGAAUCUUCUGUCACUCAGAAGAGAAAGGGGGUGGUCAUUGAGAUGCUCAGUUCCUUCCGUGAUUGCCUGAUUGCCUGCAAGGCUGAAAGAAAAGAAAAAUAAUCAAAGAGACCAAGUUUGCAUCUUUCAAGAUAAAGAGAAGCAGGGCUAACAGUUCUCUUUCUGCAUGGGCUCCACAGCAAGGGCACUUUUUGCUUCUUUCAGUGUGCUCUGUGCAGGCUGCUGAUGGCCAAAGUGGUGUCGCUGGGGAGUGCACAGCCCUCCCAGUCCCUCCUCAGGCCUGCACCACCACUGCUGCUGCUCUGCUGGCCAUAAAUAAAAGGUCAUUGGCUGUGAAAGAAA